AUUCCAUGGUGUGGACAUUCCCUUUGUAGGUUUUUAUACCUCUCCUAUGCAUCACAGAGUGAUUCUCCUUCCUUUUGCCUAAAAGUAUUCAAUUCUAUUCUCAGUUU
Hevea brasiliensis (rubber tree) is the source of this 107-nucleotide small nucleolar RNA. The record is from RefSeq and is a predicted model, not a curated record. NCBI's taxonomy places the organism in Eukaryota, Viridiplantae, Streptophyta, Magnoliopsida, Malpighiales, Euphorbiaceae.